AGCAGUUUAGCUUAGAUGGUAAAGCACUUUGACCGAAAAUUGAAGGGAUGUGAGUUCAAGUCUCAUGGCUGGUU
Non-coding RNA from Octopus bimaculoides (California two-spot octopus), 74 nucleotides. Lineage: Eukaryota; Metazoa; Mollusca; Cephalopoda; Octopoda; Octopodidae. The record is from Rfam.